RNAcentral lists this ribosomal RNA (253 nucleotides) under uncultured bacterium. RNAcentral describes it as "partial 16S ribosomal RNA". It matches the Rfam family "Bacterial small subunit ribosomal RNA", at positions 524 to 776 of the family's 1533-position model. The record is from RNAcentral.
UACGAAGGGUGCAAACGUUGCUCGGAAUUAUUGGGCGUAAAGCGCACGUAGGCGGCCUGGCAAGUGACGGGUGAAAGCCCUCGGCUUAACCGAGGAACUGCCUGUCAGACUGUUAGGCUUGAGACCGGGAGAGGUGAGUGGAAUUCCCAGUGUAGCGGUGAAAUGCGUAGAUAUUGGGAGGAACACCAGUGGCGAAGGCGGCUCACUGGACCGGUACUGACGCUGAGGCGCGAAAGCGUGGGGAGCAAACAGG